This 352-nucleotide unclassified non-coding RNA is filed under the name soil metagenome. RNAcentral describes it as "partial contains 5.8S ribosomal RNA, internal transcribed spacer 2, and large subunit ribosomal RNA". The stretch from base 1 to 120 matches the Rfam family "5.8S ribosomal RNA", at positions 35 to 154 of the family's 154-position model. The record is from RNAcentral.
GAUGAAGAACGUAGCGAAAUGCGAUAAGUAAUGUGAAUUGCAGAAUUCAGUGAAUCAUCGAAUCUUUGAACGCACAUUGAGCCCGCCAGUAUUCUGGCGGGCAGGCCUGUUCGAGCGUCAUUACAACCCUCAGGCCCCCGGGCCUGGCGUUGGGGAUCGGCGGAGCCCCCCGUGGGCACACGCCGUCCCCCAAAUACAGUGGCGGUCCCGCCGCAGCUUCCAUCGCGUAGUAGCUAACACCUCGCGACUGGAGAGCGGCGCGGCCACGCCGUAAAACACCCAACUCUUCUGAAGUUGACCUCGAAUCAGGUAGGAAUACCCGCUGAACUUAAGCAUAUCAAUAAGCGGAGGG